RNAcentral lists this long non-coding RNA (3516 nucleotides) under Canis lupus familiaris (dog). RNAcentral describes it as "lncRNA (ENSCAFG00845024404.1)". Lineage: Eukaryota; Metazoa; Chordata; Mammalia; Carnivora; Canidae. The record is from RNAcentral.
GGUUUCGAGUGAUGGAGUAAAUUUCUUUGUCUCGGUUCGGCGGCCGCGUGCGGAGGAGGUUUGCCGCCGGGACUCUGCGGCUGUGUUUACCGACCGAAAGUCGUGGAGGAAACUGGCAAAAAACGGUUAGCAGGGGUCGUCGCCACUGGGUGAUUUUUAUUUUCUUCUUAGAUUUUUUUUUUUCCACCGUCAACAUUUAUUUUCAUAAAAAGAGAAAAAAAGUAAAAAAUAAGAGCAGCUGACACUUUUAUAGAAGUUUUUGCGUGCCGAGAACUGAUUAAGGUACUUUUACAUGCGUUAAGUAACUGAGUAAGGUAUUUUUACAUGCAUUAAGUAAUUUCAUCCCCAUAGCAACCUUAGCGGAAGGCACCUUACUGUCUACAUUUUAUAUAUGGGGCGACCGAGGCACAGGGAGGUUUCCCCAGGUCACGGAGCCGCGACGACAACCCAGGCAGUGGUUCCAGAGUCUGGAAAGUAGGUCCCAGCGCUUACCAGGAACUUUUCGUCUCCUUUCUGAGUGUGGAAAUCGUGCUGGUAAAUGCAGCUCGUGAUUCCUUCCUCUAAGAGGAACUUCAGGAAACGUUUUCCCUAAACCUCAAGAUGAAGUUCUCCCAGACAACCCAAUCUUGGUAGCUGUCUGCUCCUGUGUGCAUGUGAUUUUUACCAUUUUCAAGUGUACAGUUCAGUGGCAUUAAAUACACUCACACUGUUGUGUAACCAUCACUGCAGUAUGCUUCCAGAACUUUUUCAUGAAUGCCAAUGAACUCUAUAACCAUUAACCAAUAGGUCCCCAUUAUCCUCUCUCCCCAAUCCUGAUAACCUCUCAGCUAGCAUCUGCCUCUAUGAAUUUGCCUAUCCUCAAUAUUUCAUAAACCUUGAACUCUACAAUAUUUAUCCUUUUGUACCUGGCUUAUUUCCCUUGACAGUGUUUUCCAGGGUCAUCCAUGUCACGGCCUGUGUCACGACUUUACAGUGGCUGAAUGAUGUGCUAUUGCAUGUACUCAACACUUUUUGUUUAUCCAUUCUUCCCUGGAGGGCGCUUGGGUUGCUUCCUCCUCAUGUCUAUUGUGAAUACUGCUGCAAGGAACAGUGAGGUAUAAGGAUAUAUUUGAGUGUCUGUUUUCAGCUCUUUGGGGUAUAUACCUAACAGUGAAAUUGCUGGGUAAAAUGGUAAUUCUAAUGUUCAGCUUUUUGAGGAACACCAAACUAUUUUCCACAACGGCGACACCAUUUAACAUUCCCACUAGAAAUGUAUAAGGCUUCCAGUUUCUCCACAUCCUUGCCAACACUUGCUGUUUUCCUUUUUUUUUUUUUUUUUUAAGAUUUUAUUUAUCUGGGAUCCCUGGGUGGCGCAGCGGUUUGGUGCCUGCCUUUGGCCCAGGGCACGAUCCUGGAGACCCAGGAUCGAAUCCCAUGUCGGGCUCCCUGCGGGGAGCCCGAUGUGGGACUCUAUCCUGGGGCCCUGGGAUCAAGUCCUGAGCCAAAGACAGACACUCAACUGCUGAGCUACCCAGACAUCCCUUUUUUUAAGAUUUUAUGUAUUUAUUCAUGAGAGAUACACAAAGAGGCAGAGACAUAGGCAGAGGGAGAAGCAGGCUCCCUGUGUGGGAUCACGCCCUGAGCCGAAGGCAAACACUGAACCACCAAGCCACCCAGGAGGCUCCCCCCUCUUUUUUUUUUUUUUUUAGUUGUAGCUUCUUUUAAUGGUGGUUCUGAUGAGGGUGAACUUCAUACCCUGGCUUCAGGCACUGAGUCUUAUAAAUGAAGAACACCUGCCACUUUUUUUUUUAAGAUUUUAUAUAUUCAUGAGAGACACAGAGAGACAGAGACAUAGGCAGAGGGAUAAGCAGGCUCCCCUUUGGGGGUCCGAUGCGGGACUCAAUCCCAGGACGUGGGAUCAUACCCUGAGCCAAAGGCAAAUGCUCAACUGCUGAGCCACCCAGGCAUCCCCACUUACCACUUUAUUGACUGGAUUUCUGCAGUGGCAGACUGGUCUUCCUGAUUCUACUCUUGGCUCUCUUCAGUCCAUUCUUCACACAAUCGAGAGAUCUUUUACCAACCCAAAUCAUACUGCCUUGCUCCCCUGCAUGAACACUGCAAUACACUUAGAAUGAAACCCCGACUCUGAGCAGCAUGAUCUAGCUCUUCCCUACCCCAUCAGCUUCUGCUACUACUACUCUCCCCUUGUUCCCUCUACUCCAGUCAUAUUGGCCUCCGUGUUACCCACACAAACCAAUCUUAUUCCCACCUAAGGACCUUUGUGCCAGCUGUUCCCUUCCCACUACCCAAAAUGCUCUCCCUUCAAUCAGUUUGUGACUGACUCGUGCCCAUCCUUGGAUUUCAGCUCAAAAAGAGAGUGCCCUGACCACCCCAUAAACCAACAGCACCCACCUUGCAGUCAGGCCCUACCCCAUCCCUCUUAUCUGCCCCCUAGCAUUUAGCACUCUUUGAGAUCAUUUUAUUAGUUAAUUUGGUGAACUUGUAUAUAGUCUGUCUUACUAGAUGUGAGCUCCAGAAGGGUGAGGGCUUUGUUUUUAUCUUGUUCACUGCUGUAUCUCAGGUUCUUAGUAUAGUGCGUGACACAUAGCGCUUGGUAAAUGCCAGGUGAAUAAACAAGUGAAUAAAUGUCCUUAUGUGAUUAUUUAAAAAGAUUUUACUUAUUUGACAGAGAGAGAACACAAGCAGGGGGAGUGGCAGGCAGAGGGAGAAGCAGGCUCCUCGCCAAGCAAGGAGCCCAAUGCAGGGCUCCAUCCUAGGACCCUGAGAUCAUGACCUGAGCUGAAGGCAGACACCUAACCAACUGAGCCACCCAAGCACUCCUCCUUCUGUGUGUUUUUGAAUCAUUUUCAGAUGUAUAUCAAGUCUGGAUACCCAUGUUUGCUCAACUCAAAUAGCUCUUAUGUCAGCUUUCUCUCCACCCCAUCAUUGCCUGAGCUCUGGAGGGUAGGAAUCAUGUCCAACUCUUGUGCCAUAGAGUAGUGCUGCAAUUUCACCAUCUAUAAUGAAGGACUAACAUUUUAAAUUUCUAAUCCAGGGGCACCUGGCUGGCUCAGUUGGUAAAGCAUGUGACUCUUAAUCUCAGGGUUGUGAAUUUGAGCCCCAGUUGGUUAUAAAGAUUACUUAAAAAUCUUUUUAAAAAUAAAUUAAAAAUAAAUUUCCAAUCCACUGCAAACGGUACUUAUGUGAAAUAUGAUGAAAUAUUGUAGCAAUGCCAGUUUGCUAGAAAAGUUUCUAAAAUCUUAUUCUCAACUUCCAUAUUUUAUUGGGAAUAAACGGUUUACAAACGGUUACUAGGUACGUCCAUAUUUUGAAUCAAAUUGUCUUAGAGGGGAGCCCGGGUGGCUCAGCGGUUUAGCGCCGCCUUCAGCCCUGGGCAGGAUCCUGGAGACCCAGGAUUAAGUCCCAUGUCAGGCUCCCUGCAUGGAACCUGCUUCUUUCUCUGCCUGUGUCUCUGCCUCUUUCUGUGUUUCUCAUGAAUAAAUAAAUAAAAUCUUAAAAAAAAAAAAAAAAAAAAAA